UAUCCACGGAGUGAAGUUAAGAUGGCGCUAAAUGGCGACUCCUUUGCUUGUAUCUUCGGAAACAUCUCUAUUUUCAUCUUUAAUAUCUUUAUUUUUCUCUUUCAGGAUUCUUCUGGAGUUACACGCCCACUUCAGUUCUUGGCGGGAAUGAGACCCGUUCUCAGGGUUUCAGGACUGGCCGAUGUUUGGCACGCCAAGGGUUCGGCCUGAGAGCCUGGCUCAGAUUUGGAAGCCUAAGAGCUUGGGGCUCUGGAGACGGGCAGAUCGAGGGUCAGUGUCAUGGCUGGAAACCCAUGAGCUGUCAGGGGAGUCUGAAAGAUCUAUUGCUGUGUGCCCGGGAUCUUAGCGAUUUUUGAGAAUAGAGCUCAGAGGAAGCAAUGUAACGGACUUUUAACAUCGUAAACCAAUGUUUGUGAAGAGAAAGCAUUUCAGGUAUAUUUCAGGCAGAAGAUACCAAAGUCUGAAGGGAUGUAUCACUGGAUUCAAGGACAGCUUCUACUCUGCUGUUAUAAGAACUUUGAACAGUUCCCUAGU
This is a long non-coding RNA of Hypanus sabinus (Atlantic stingray), 534 nucleotides long. RefSeq lists it as uncharacterized. The record is from RefSeq and is a predicted model, not a curated record. NCBI's taxonomy places the organism in Eukaryota, Metazoa, Chordata, Chondrichthyes, Myliobatiformes, Dasyatidae. The transcript is spliced from 3 exons.